AUUUGUUUGAAUUUAAAGUUCAAACAGUUAAUGCCACUGGUUGAUUAUGAGGGUGAACAGUGAAGCUCUGCUGUGUGUUCUUGUGUUUAAAAUAAUUUCUAGGAGUCUGUGAUAGUUUGUGCAGCUGGAGUCUGAGCUGAAAGGCGGCAUUUCCUUUCUUGUUCGUCUCUGUGAAAUCUAAGAUAAUUCUACUACAAUGACCUGCAGCUGUACACUAGUGUACUUUACUCAAAUGCAGUUUUACUGCAGUUUAAAUGCACAGCUGCUCAACAUAGUGAAACAUCGUGAAUGUAGUGAAAUGGAAAGAAGACGGGUCGGCAACCUACGGCACGCGUUCCAACUGUGGCAUGCAGAGGAAUAAUUGCUGGCACGCGAGCAAUAGGGAAAACUGAGGUACAUUUUGAGCUUCUCCACAUUUGUUCCCAAGCUGGUCACCAUCUUUUUUUCGAAGGGCCUUCUCCGCCUCUUCUUAAGUCGCCGCCAUCUCUCCAGAUCUGGCCUUACCAGGGACUCAAGCACAGCAGUUCUUCUCUCUACAUGCUCUUCAGAAGUGUCCAGGAAUUUAUUUGAUGCAAUGCCUUGAGAUUCAUGCCUGUCUGACUGGAAGGAAGGGGAUGAAGGUUGAAUGGAUGCUGAAGUGUUUCCACACACUGCACCAGGUUGCAGAGUGGAAGGAGCUUGGUCCUUGACAGUGGAGGUAAGUAGUACAGGAGACCUAGUGGUAGUAAUGGGACACUGGCUGGUGGAUGGUGGAGGUGGUUUCACAAAACUGAGGUUUAGGGGUCCCGGCAACCUAGUGGAGAUAGUGGGACAUGGAAUAGGAGGUUGGAGAAGCUUUGCAGCACACUGGGCCACUGAGGAGAGCUGUUUGGAGAGAAGAUUGUAGAUGAGGUCAGUGUCACUCAAGAAUUAUUUCCUGUAUAUUCUUGUUCAUUAAGUAAAUGUGUACCGUUAGCAUGACAACAUUGUCUUUGCUGUCUAACACAUUAAUGGUUACGUUGUCCAUUUUGUUGUGUGUUACGCAGGGUAAUGCAGGUUCUUUAUAUAUCCUAAGAAACCAUGGGACCAUAGCCAACACCUGUUCCAUUCAAUAUUAUUUAUAGUUAGCAACAAUUGCAAUUACCAUUUUAAGUCCACUUUCAGUUUUGGCUCAACAUUUGUAUCAGUGAUUUCCAUUGUUUUCAUGAUUUAGUCAUUAAGUAACACUAUGUAUUAAUGGUAUUAACACGUGUUUAAGAUGUGUGUAUAAGUGGUGUUUUGGAAGGGUGUCUUCCAAAACAAGAUAACAUAUUGGAUAUAUACUUUAGCAGUAUAACAUGGGUGUUUCUGCUAAUACAAAAUGAAACACACCAAUUUGAAAAACUAAUGGAAUGCAUAGUCGAUAUAAAAAAUUGGAUGACGAGUAAUUUCUUACUG
Carassius auratus (goldfish) is the source of this 1416-nucleotide long non-coding RNA. RefSeq lists it as uncharacterized. NCBI's taxonomy places the organism in Eukaryota, Metazoa, Chordata, Actinopteri, Cypriniformes, Cyprinidae. The transcript is spliced from 4 exons. The record is from RefSeq and is a predicted model, not a curated record.